UACGGAGGGUGCUAGCGUUGUUCGGAAUUACUGGGCGUAAAGCGCGUGUAGGCGGUUGGGUAAGUCAGAUGUGAAAUCCCUUGGCUUAACCAAGGAAGGGCAUUUGAAACUGCUCGGCUUGAGUACGGGAGGGGGAAGCGGAAUUCCCGGUGUAGAGGUGAAAAUCGUAGAUAUCGGGAGGAACACCAGUGGCGAAGGCGGCUUCCUGGACCGAUACUGACGCUGAGACGCGAAAGCGUCGGGAGCAAACAGG
This 253-nucleotide ribosomal RNA is filed under the name uncultured bacterium. RNAcentral's name for it is "partial 16S ribosomal RNA". It matches the Rfam family "Bacterial small subunit ribosomal RNA", at positions 524 to 776 of the family's 1533-position model. The record is from RNAcentral.